This 513-nucleotide ribosomal RNA is filed under the name uncultured bacterium. RNAcentral's name for it is "partial 16S ribosomal RNA". It matches the Rfam family "Bacterial small subunit ribosomal RNA", at positions 28 to 507 of the family's 1533-position model. The record is from RNAcentral.
GACGAACGCUGGCGGCGUGCUUAACACAUGCAAGUCGAACGAGAGCGUAGAGAAAGCUUGCUUUUUCUACAAUCUAGUGGCAAACGGGUGAGUAACGCGUAAACAACCUGCCCUACGGAUGGGGACAACAGCUGGAAACGGCUGCUAAUACCGAAUACAUUCCGAAAGUCGCAUGACUAUCGGAAGAAAGGAUGGCCUCUAUUUAUAAGCUAUCGCCGGAGGAGGGGUUUGCGUCUGAUUAGCUAGUUGGAGGGGUAACGGCCCACCAAGGCGACGAUCAGUAGCCGGUCUGAGAGGAUGAACGGCCACAUUGGAACUGAGACACGGUCCAGACUCCUACGGGAGGCAGCAGUGGGGAAUCUUCCGCAAUGGGCGAAAGCCUGACGGAGCAACGCCGCGUGAGUGAAGACGGCCUUCGGGUUGUAAAGCUCUGUUAUACGGGACGAAUAAUCUUGUGGUUAAUACCCAUGAGAAGUGACGGUACCGUAAGAGAAAGCCACGGCUAACUACGUG